RNAcentral lists this unclassified non-coding RNA (193 nucleotides) under soil metagenome. RNAcentral's name for it is "partial contains 5.8S ribosomal RNA, internal transcribed spacer 2, and large subunit ribosomal RNA". The record is from RNAcentral.
AACGCACGAGACCUGCGGACCUGCGGAAGGAUCAUUACCGAGUUAUCCAACUCCCAACCCCUGUGAAUUAUACCUUUAAUUGUUGCUUCGGCGGGACUUCGCGCCCGCCGGGGGCCCAAACCUUCUGAAUUUUUUAAUAAGUAUCUUCUGAGUGGUUAAAAAAAUGAAUCAAAACUUUUAACAACGGAUCUCU